RNAcentral lists this ribosomal RNA (497 nucleotides) under uncultured bacterium. RNAcentral's name for it is "partial 16S ribosomal RNA". It matches the Rfam family "Bacterial small subunit ribosomal RNA", at positions 28 to 507 of the family's 1533-position model. The record is from RNAcentral.
GAUGAACGCUGGCGGCGUGCCUAAUACAUGCAAGUCGAGCGAACAGAUGAGGAGCUUGCUCCUCUGACGUUAGCGGCGGACGGGUGAGUAACACGUGGAUAACCUACCUAUAAGACUGGGAUAACUUCGGGAAACCGGAGCUAAUACCGGAUAAUAUAUUGAACCGCAUGGUUCAAUAGUGAAAGACGGUUUUGCUGUCACUUAUAGAUGGAUCCGCGCCGCAUUAGCUAGUUGGUAAGGUAACGGCUUACCAAGGCAACGAUGCGUAGCCGACCUGAGAGGGUGAUCGGCCACACUGGAAGGGAGACACGGUCCAGACGCCUACGGGAGGCAGCAGUAGGGAAUCGUCCGCAAUGGGCGAAAGCCUGACGGAGCAACGCCGCGUGAGUGAUGAAGGUCUUCGGAUCGUAAAACUCUGUUAUUAGGGAAGAACAAAUGUGUAAGUAACUAUGCACGUCUUGACGGUACCUAAUCAGAAAGCCACGGCUAACUACGUG